Molecule: ribosomal RNA, 254 nt
Filed under: uncultured bacterium
Lineage: Bacteria
Description: partial 16S ribosomal RNA
Rfam family: Bacterial small subunit ribosomal RNA
Source: RNAcentral
UACGAAGGGGGGCUAGCGUUGCUCGGAAUUACUGGGCGUAAAGCGCACGUAGGCGGCUUUGUAAGUUAGAGGUGAAAGCCCGGAGCUCAACUCCGGAAUUGCCUUUAAGACUGCAUCGCUUGAAUCAUGGAGAGGUGAGUGGAACUCCUAGUGUAGAGGUGGAAUUCGUAGAUAUUAGGAAGAACACCAGUGGCGAAGGCGGCUUACUGGUCCGGUACUGACGCUGAGGUGCGAAAGCGUGGGGAGCAAACAGG